RNAcentral lists this ribosomal RNA (497 nucleotides) under uncultured bacterium. RNAcentral describes it as "partial 16S ribosomal RNA". It matches the Rfam family "Bacterial small subunit ribosomal RNA", at positions 28 to 507 of the family's 1533-position model. The record is from RNAcentral.
GAUGAACGCUGGCGGCGUGCCUAAUACAUGCAAGUCGAGCGAACAGACGAGGAGCUUGCUCCUCUGACGUUAGCGGCGGACGGGUGAGUAACACGUGGAUAACCUACCUAUAAGACUGGGAUAACUUCGGGAAACCGGAGCUAAUACCGGAUAAUAUAUUGAACCGCAUGGUUCAAUAGUGAAAGACGGCUUUGCUGUCACUUAUAGAUGGAUCCGCGCCGCAUUAGCUAGUUGGUAAGGUAACGGCUUACCAAGGCAACGAGGCGUAGCCGACCUGAGAGGGUGAUCGGCCACACUGGAACUGAGACACGGUCCAGACUCCUACGGGAGGCAGCAGUAGGGAAUCUUCCGCAAUGGGCGAAAGCCUGACGGAGCAACGCCGAGUGAGUGAUGAAGGUCUUCGGAUCGUAAAACUCUGUUAUUAGGGAAGAACAAAUGUGUAAGUAACUAUGCACGUCUUGACGGUACCUAAUCAGAAAGCCACGGCUAACUACGUG